This 469-nucleotide ribosomal RNA is filed under the name uncultured organism. RNAcentral describes it as "partial 16S ribosomal RNA". It matches the Rfam family "Bacterial small subunit ribosomal RNA", at positions 331 to 797 of the family's 1533-position model. The record is from RNAcentral.
GUACACUCCUGCGGGAGGCAGCAGUGAGGAAUAUUGGACAAUGGGUGGAAGCCUGAUCCAGCCAUCCCGCGUGCAGGAAGACGGCCCUAUGGGUUGUAAACUGCUUUUAUCUGGGGAUAAACCUACUUACGUGUAAGUAGCUGAAGGUACCAGAAGCAUAAGCACCGGCUAACUCCGUGCCAGCAGCCGCGGUAAUACGGAGGGUGCAAGCGUUAUCCGGAUUUAUUGGGUUUAAAGGGUCCGUAGGCGGACUGAUAAGUCAGUGGUGAAAUCCGACAGCUUAACUGUCGAACUGCCAUUGAUACUGUUAGUCUUGAGUAAGGUUGAAGUGGCUGGAAUAAGUAGUGUAGCGGUGAAAUGCAUAGAUAUUACUUAGAACACCAAUUGCGAAGGCAGGUCACUAAGUCUUAACUGACGCUGAUGGACGAAAGCGUGGGGAGCGAACAGGAUUAGAAACCCCUGUAGUCCC